RNAcentral lists this long non-coding RNA (535 nucleotides) under Malus domestica (apple). RNAcentral's name for it is "long non-coding RNA (MDOM_LNC011664)". Lineage: Eukaryota; Viridiplantae; Streptophyta; Magnoliopsida; Rosales; Rosaceae. The record is from RNAcentral.
GCCAACAUAUAUAUUCAAACUAAACAGAAACAGUUUCAGACAGGUUACAACAACAUCAUGACCCAGAAGCCUGGAACAUCAUGAGCUGAUGAUGUUCACCAACGACCACCGCCGCCGCCUCCAGGCCCACCACCACCGCCGCCGCCAGGUCCACCACCACCACCGCCGCCACGUCCACCGCCGCCCCAUCCCCCACCGCCACCAGGUCCGCCCCCAGGUCCACCGCCGCCCCAUCCACCGCCGCCACCAGGUCCACCACCGCCACCAGGUCCACCACCGCCACCAGGUCCUCCGCCGAACAUUGGCCCACAGCAGCCCUCAAGCAGGCAGCAGCAGCACAGGAAAUAAGCACUGCAGUAGUAGUACACACCAAGAUGAUAUAAGUAAGAAAAAAAUUGAAAACAAUGAUAUAAGCAGCUAGCUGAUGAAGCUACAUUUUGGAUAAUUUCACGGAUAAUACUUAUAUUAUCCUGACUAGUCAGACAUGAUUUUACUCGUAAAUAAACAAUUUCUGAGUUUUACUAAACUCACCAAG